RNAcentral lists this ribosomal RNA (253 nucleotides) under uncultured bacterium. Its description in RNAcentral is "partial 16S ribosomal RNA". It matches the Rfam family "Bacterial small subunit ribosomal RNA", at positions 524 to 776 of the family's 1533-position model. The record is from RNAcentral.
UACGAAGGGGGCUAGCGUUGCUCGGAAUCACUGGGCGUAAAGCGCACGUAGGCGGCUUGUUAAGUCAGGGGUGAAAUCCUGGAGCUCAACUCCAGAACUGCCUUUGAUAGUGGCGAGCUUGAGUCCGGGAGAGGUGAGUGGAACUGCGAGUGUAGAGGUGAAAUUCGUAGAUAUUCGCAAGAACACCAGUGGCGAAGGCGGCUCACUGGCCCGGUACUGACGCUGAGGUGCGAAAGCGUGGGGAGCAAACAGG